UAGCCCAAUGCCUCGAGUGUG
Molecule: non-coding RNA, 21 nt
Filed under: Arabidopsis thaliana (thale cress)
Lineage: Eukaryota; Viridiplantae; Streptophyta; Magnoliopsida; Brassicales; Brassicaceae
Source: RNAcentral